RNAcentral lists this ribosomal RNA (497 nucleotides) under uncultured bacterium. RNAcentral describes it as "partial 16S ribosomal RNA". It matches the Rfam family "Bacterial small subunit ribosomal RNA", at positions 28 to 507 of the family's 1533-position model. The record is from RNAcentral.
GAUGAACGCUGGCGGCGUGCCUAAUACAUGCAAGUCGAGCGAACAGACGAGGAGCUUGCUCCUCUGACGUUAGCGGCGGACGGGUGAGUAACACGUGGAUAACCUACCUAUAAGACUGAGAUAACUUCGGGAAACCGGAGCUAAUACCGGAUAAUAUAUUGAACCGCAUGGUUCAAUAGUGAAAGACGGUUUUGCUGUCACUUAUAGAUGGAUCCGCGCCGCAUUAGCUAGUUGGUAAGGUAACGGCUUACCAAGGCAACGAUGCGUAGCCGACCUGAGAGGGUGAUCGGCCACACUGGAACUGAGACACGGUCCAGACUCCUACGGGAGGCAGCAGUAGGGAAUCUUCCGCAAUGGGCGAAAGCCUGACGGAGCAACGCCGCGUGAGUGAUGAAGGUCUUCGGAUCGUAAAACUCUGUUAUUAGGGAAGAACAAAUGUGUAAGUAACUAUGCACGUCUUGGCGGUACCUAAUCAGAAAGCCACGGCUAACUACGUG